CUCAGUGGUUCAGUGGUAGAACACUUGCUUAGUGUGAAUGAAGCCCUGAGUUCAAUCCCCAGGACA
Molecule: transfer RNA, 66 nt
Filed under: Marmota monax (woodchuck)
Lineage: Eukaryota; Metazoa; Chordata; Mammalia; Rodentia; Sciuridae
Description: tRNA.Thr
Source: RNAcentral